This 2902-nucleotide ribosomal RNA is filed under the name Escherichia coli O104:H4 str. 11-02092. Its description in RNAcentral is "bacterial LSU rRNA". It matches the Rfam family "Bacterial large subunit ribosomal RNA". Lineage: Bacteria; Pseudomonadati; Pseudomonadota; Gammaproteobacteria; Enterobacterales; Enterobacteriaceae. RNAcentral also lists the same sequence under 5 other names. The record is from RNAcentral.
UUAAGCGACUAAGCGUACACGGUGGAUGCCCUGGCAGUCAGAGGCGAUGAAGGACGUGCUAAUCUGCGAUAAGCGUCGGUAAGGUGAUAUGAACCGUUAUAACCGGCGAUUUCCGAAUGGGGAAACCCAGUGUGUUUCGACACACUAUCAUUAACUGAAUCCAUAGGUUAAUGAGGCGAACCGGGGGAACUGAAACAUCUAAGUACCCCGAGGAAAAGAAAUCAACCGAGAUUCCCCCAGUAGCGGCGAGCGAACGGGGAGCAGCCCAGAGCCUGAAUCAGUGUGUGUGUUAGUGGAAGCGUCUGGAAAGGCGCGCGAUACAGGGUGACAGCCCCGUACACAAAAAUGCACAUGCUGUGAGCUCGAUGAGUAGGGCGGGACACGUGGUAUCCUGUCUGAAUAUGGGGGGACCAUCCUCCAAGGCUAAAUACUCCUGACUGACCGAUAGUGAACCAGUACCGUGAGGGAAAGGCGAAAAGAACCCCGGCGAGGGGAGUGAAAAAGAACCUGAAACCGUGUACGUACAAGCAGUGGGAGCACGCUUAGGCGUGUGACUGCGUACCUUUUGUAUAAUGGGUCAGCGACUUAUAUUCUGUAGCAAGGUUAACCGAAUAGGGGAGCCGAAGGGAAACCGAGUCUUAACUGGGCGUUAAGUUGCAGGGUAUAGACCCGAAACCCGGUGAUCUAGCCAUGGGCAGGUUGAAGGUUGGGUAACACUAACUGGAGGACCGAACCGACUAAUGUUGAAAAAUUAGCGGAUGACUUGUGGCUGGGGGUGAAAGGCCAAUCAAACCGGGAGAUAGCUGGUUCUCCCCGAAAGCUAUUUAGGUAGCGCCUCGUGAAUUCAUCUCCGGGGGUAGAGCACUGUUUCGGCAAGGGGGUCAUCCCGACUUACCAACCCGAUGCAAACUGCGAAUACCGGAGAAUGUUAUCACGGGAGACACACGGCGGGUGCUAACGUCCGUCGUGAAGAGGGAAACAACCCAGACCGCCAGCUAAGGUCCCAAAGUCAUGGUUAAGUGGGAAACGAUGUGGGAAGGCCCAGACAGCCAGGAUGUUGGCUUAGAAGCAGCCAUCAUUUAAAGAAAGCGUAAUAGCUCACUGGUCGAGUCGGCCUGCGCGGAAGAUGUAACGGGGCUAAACCAUGCACCGAAGCUGCGGCAGCGACGCUGAUGCGUUGUUGGGUAGGGGAGCGUUCUGUAAGCCUGCGAAGGUGUGCUGUGAGGCAUGCUGGAGGUAUCAGAAGUGCGAAUGCUGACAUAAGUAACGAUAAAGCGGGUGAAAAGCCCGCUCGCCGGAAGACCAAGGGUUCCUGUCCAACGUUAAUCGGGGCAGGGUGAGUCGACCCCUAAGGCGAGGCCGAAAGGCGUAGUCGAUGGGAAACAGGUUAAUAUUCCUGUACUUGGUGUUACUGCGAAGGGGGGACGGAGAAGGCUAUGUUGGCCGGGCGACGGUUGUCCCGGUUUAAGCGUGUAGGCUGGUUUUCCAGGCAAAUCCGGAAAAUCAAGGCUGAGGCGUGAUGACGAGGCACUACGGUGCUGAAGCAACAAAUGCCCUGCUUCCAGGAAAAGCCUCUAAGCAUCAGGUAACAUCAAAUCGUACCCCAAACCGACACAGGUGGUCAGGUAGAGAAUACCAAGGCGCUUGAGAGAACUCGGGUGAAGGAACUAGGCAAAAUGGUGCCGUAACUUCGGGAGAAGGCACGCUGAUAUGUAGGUGAAGCGACUUGCUCGUGGAGCUGAAAUCAGUCGAAGAUACCAGCUGGCUGCAACUGUUUAUUAAAAACACAGCACUGUGCAAACACGAAAGUGGACGUAUACGGUGUGACGCCUGCCCGGUGCCGGAAGGUUAAUUGAUGGGGUCAGCGCAAGCGAAGCUCUUGAUCGAAGCCCCGGUAAACGGCGGCCGUAACUAUAACGGUCCUAAGGUAGCGAAAUUCCUUGUCGGGUAAGUUCCGACCUGCACGAAUGGCGUAAUGAUGGCCAGGCUGUCUCCACCCGAGACUCAGUGAAAUUGAACUCGCUGUGAAGAUGCAGUGUACCCGCGGCAAGACGGAAAGACCCCGUGAACCUUUACUAUAGCUUGACACUGAACAUUGAGCCUUGAUGUGUAGGAUAGGUGGGAGGCUUUGAAGUGUGGACGCCAGUCUGCAUGGAGCCGACCUUGAAAUACCACCCUUUAAUGUUUGAUGUUCUAACGUGGACCCGUAAUCCGGGUUGCGGACAGUGUCUGGUGGGUAGUUUGACUGGGGCGGUCUCCUCCUAAAGAGUAACGGAGGAGCACGAAGGUUGGCUAAUCCUGGUCGGACAUCAGGAGGUUAGUGCAAUGGCAUAAGCCAGCUUGACUGCGAGCGUGACGGCGCGAGCAGGUGCGAAAGCAGGUCAUAGUGAUCCGGUGGUUCUGAAUGGAAGGGCCAUCGCUCAACGGAUAAAAGGUACUCCGGGGAUAACAGGCUGAUACCGCCCAAGAGUUCAUAUCGACGGCGGUGUUUGGCACCUCGAUGUCGGCUCAUCACAUCCUGGGGCUGAAGUAGGUCCCAAGGGUAUGGCUGUUCGCCAUUUAAAGUGGUACGCGAGCUGGGUUUAGAACGUCGUGAGACAGUUCGGUCCCUAUCUGCCGUGGGCGCUGGAGAACUGAGGGGGGCUGCUCCUAGUACGAGAGGACCGGAGUGGACGCAUCACUGGUGUUCGGGUUGUCAUGCCAAUGGCACUGCCCGGUAGCUAAAUGCGGAAGAGAUAAGUGCUGAAAGCAUCUAAGCACGAAACUUGCCCCGAGAUGAGUUCUCCCUGACUCCUUGAGAGUCCUGAAGGAACGUUGAAGACGACGACGUUGAUAGGCCGGGUGUGUAAGCGCAGCGAUGCGUUGAGCUAACCGGUACUAAUGAACCGUGAGGCUUAACCUU